This 440-nucleotide ribosomal RNA is filed under the name uncultured Alphaproteobacteria bacterium. RNAcentral describes it as "partial 16S ribosomal RNA". Lineage: Bacteria; Pseudomonadati; Pseudomonadota; Alphaproteobacteria. The record is from RNAcentral.
GACUACCCGGGUAUCUAAUCCUGUUUGCUCCCCACGCUUUCGCGCCUCAGCGUCAGUUACAGACCAGAUGGCCGCCUUCGCCACUGGUGUUCUUCCCAAUAUCUACGAAUUCCACCUCUACACUGGGAGUUCCACCAUCCUCUUCUGUACUCUAGUCUAAUAGUUUUGAACGCCAUUCCCGGGUUAAGCCCAGGGAUUUCACGCCCAACUUAUCAAACCGCCUACGCGCUCUUUACGCCCAGUAAUUCCGAACAACGCUUGCUCCCUUCGUAUUACCGCGGCUGCUGGCACGAAGUUAGCCGGAGCUUAUUCUGCGGGUACCGUCAUCAUCGUCCCCGCCAAAAGGACUUUACAAUCCGAAGACCUUCAUCAUCCACGCGGCGUUGCUGGAUCAGGGUUUCCCCCAUUGUCCAAUAUUCCCCACUGCAGCCUCCCGUAGG